Haemorhous mexicanus (house finch) is the source of this 1366-nucleotide long non-coding RNA. RefSeq lists it as uncharacterized. The record is from RefSeq and is a predicted model, not a curated record. Lineage: Eukaryota; Metazoa; Chordata; Aves; Passeriformes; Fringillidae. The transcript has 4 exons.
AGUAAUGAGGAGGAGCCUGACUCCCCUGAAGAUUCAGCAAUGCCAAAUCACCUUGUCUCCUCUUGAGCCAGGCAGAGCCCGCGAUGACGGCGGCGGCCUCCGAGCGUGGCCGUAGCGUGCGGCCCGAGGAGCCGGGCGUUCUUAGCAGAAGGCUGACCAAGAGACCAGAGACCGGUGACUGCGGAAAAUUCCCAGCGGGUGAGGCGGCCUUCCUUGGCAGCGGAGGCGGAUUGUCAUCCCCGGACGUCCAAGAGAUAAGUGGAGGGUUACGAGCCCCCUGAGAGGGGGACGAAAGCGAGGUGCUGGGAGGGCCUUUGGAGUGGCAGCUUUGGAGGCGGGGUUGUGCAGGAGGUGGCCCCUUCGGCCACGUAAAGGAAGAGUUACCCGGUGCUGAGGUGCUCAGGGCAGAGCAGUCCCGGUGCGUGUCACUUGUGUCACUUGUCUAUGGUGCCUUCUGUGUGUAUCGUGCCUUCUGUGUCUUUUGCCUCGUGCCCCACAAAGGAUUAUCCGAAGCCCAGGUGUCCAUCUUUGCCACUGAGAUCUCUGUGUUCCUCGGCCCAGUGCGUAUUCCUUCAAAGCCUUGACUCAGGAGGCUGGACAGGCAACGGCGUAGCAUCUCUCUUAAGACAUCUGACCGGAUGGUUCUAUUCAGGUCUUGUUCUGAGCUGUUCUCGACAGCUGUGCAUGGCAACGAUCCCUCCCUUCUAGCUGGUUAGGACUUGUACAAAUUCCAGGAUAGGGGGAGAUUCUGACCGUAGGAUUCUGGGGCACCCAUCUUUGCCCCGCUUGCGAUAAGUCCUUCUGUUAGCGUCUUUGUUCCUCCAGGAUUCUCUGAGCCUGACGGGCUCACUGUCGCUCUCACCCAGGUCAUCUGGUCCCGCCUUCUCUGGGCCCUGGCUGGCAUUCUUCUCGCCGAGAGCUUUCUCUCCCUGUUGUGUCCCCUCGUUUGUCUUGUUCUGUGUCACGGGUGUCUGGGUAUUGGGCCCGAAGCUGCUCUGCCCUGCUGCACAGCCUGGUGUAGGUAUCAUAGGACGAGUCCUGGGGCCUGGGGAGUUGUAAUGCAGGGUGUAGCUGGACUCUAGAUGGCAUUUGUCGAUUGACACAAGAUGUCUGGAAGGCCUAAGUUAUCCUGCAGCCCUCUGACCCCUGUCCUCCCAUUCUUUCAGGUGCUGGCAGAUGAAAUCCGUGGCGGAGCGCCCCGUGGCGGGUGAGUGGUUCCCCUGAGCAGGACAUAAAGCCGAACCUGAGGAGUCAAGGCGGUCCACGGGUAUCACGCCGAGACCCCGUCAGCGAGUGGCCGACAGACCCGGUUCGUCGCUCUCGUGGGAACUCGCUAAGCGGUACGGGGCUCUGUGAUGGUGCCGUG